RNAcentral lists this ribosomal RNA (69 nucleotides) under Penicillium chrysogenum. Its description in RNAcentral is "partial 5.8S ribosomal RNA". It matches the Rfam family "5.8S ribosomal RNA", at positions 88 to 154 of the family's 154-position model. Rfam says of the family: 5.8S ribosomal RNA (5.8S rRNA) is a component of the large subunit of the eukaryotic ribosome. It is transcribed by RNA polymerase I as part of the 45S precursor that also contains 18S and 28S rRNA. Functionally, it is thought that 5.8S rRNA may be involved in ribosome translocation. RNAcentral also lists the same sequence under 1 other name. The record is from RNAcentral. Lineage: Eukaryota; Fungi; Ascomycota; Eurotiomycetes; Eurotiales; Aspergillaceae.
AUCAUCGAGUCUUUGAACGCACAUUGCGCCCCCUGGUAUUCCGGGGGGCAUGCCUGUCCGAGCGUCAUU